CAGGCCUAACACAUGCAAGUCGAGCGGUAACACAGGGAGCUUGCUCCUGGGUGACGAGCGGCGGACGGGUGAGUAAUGUCUGGGAAACUGCCCGAUGGAGGGGGAUAACUACUGGAAACGGUAGCUAAUACCGCAUAACGUCGCAAGACCAAAGAGGGGGACCUUCGGGCCUCUUGCCAUCGGAUGUGCCCAGAUGGGAUUAGCUAGUAGGUGGGGUAACGGCUCACCUAGGCGACGAUCCCUAGCUGGUCUGAGAGGAUGACCAGCCACACUGGAACUGAGACACGGUCCAGACUCCUACGGGAGGCAGCAGUGGGGAAUAUUGCACAAUGGGCGCAAGCCUGAUGCAGCCAUGCCGCGUGUAUGAAGAAGGCCUUCGGGUUGUAAAGUACUUUCAGCGAGGAGGAAGGCGAUAAGGUUAAUAACCUUGUCGAUUGACGUUACUCGCAGAAGAAGCACCGGCUAACUCCGUGCCAGCAGCCGCGGUAAU
This 490-nucleotide ribosomal RNA is filed under the name uncultured bacterium. RNAcentral's name for it is "bacterial SSU rRNA". It matches the Rfam family "Bacterial small subunit ribosomal RNA", at positions 43 to 524 of the family's 1533-position model. The record is from RNAcentral.